This is a long non-coding RNA of Cyprinus carpio (common carp), 1828 nucleotides long. Lineage: Eukaryota; Metazoa; Chordata; Actinopteri; Cypriniformes; Cyprinidae. The record is from Ensembl.
ACUCGUCUCUGAUCAUCGGUGUGUCUGUGAUUCUGCUUUUGCUCAUCACUGGACUCGUUUCAUUUAAAGUGGCUCUCUGUAAGAAGCAUCAGGCUCGAGAUAAAGACCCUGAUUCAGACUCUAAAAUGUCUGAACCUGGAACAGAAAACAGUGAAGCGGUUCCUCAAAUGCCUUACAUUUAUGAGGAGAUUAAAGACACCAGGCCUCAAACUGACUGCAAAACUGCCCGAUUACCCACAAACCCCUCUGAUUCCUUUAAAACAGUCUAUGCUACUCCUCAGUUACCCACAAACCCCUCUGCUUCUACUAAAACAGUCUAUGCGACGCCUCAAUUACCCACAAACCCAUCUGCUUCUACUAAAACAGUCUAUGCAUCUCCUCAAUUACCCACAAACCCAUCUGCUUCUACUAAAACAGUCUAUGCAUCUCCUCAAUUACCCACAAACCCUGCUGAUUCUACUAAAACAGUCUAUGCACCUCCUCAGUUACCCACAAACCCCUCUGCUUCUACUAAAACAGUCUAUGCGACGCCUCAAUUACCCACAAACCCAUCUGCUUCUACUAAAACAGUCUAUGCAACUCCUCAGUUGCCCACAAACCCCUCUGAUUCCAUGAAAACAGUCUAUGCAACUCCCCAAUUACCCACAAACCCCUCUGAUUCUUCUAACGCUGUUUAUGCUACAGUUUAGCAGUGCAGAAGUUCAUGUGAUCCAGGGAUUAGAGUAAAUACAUGUUAGUGAUUGGCCAUUUCAGUUUGUUGUUGUAACUGCUUGAGUUUGGAAAAGUCUUUUAUAAAUGUGAAUUCACUGAUUCAGCUCUUGAAGGUUAGUUAUUUAGCAUUUAUAAAGUGUAAUUUCAUCAGACUGUGACUGUAAAUGUUAUUGUGUGUGUGUGUGUGUGUGUGUUGAAUCUGAGUUGCUGAAUUGCUGUCUGUGGUGCUGAACACUAGAGUGAGCCGCUUGACUCUCUCCCUCUCUCUCUCAAUCUCUCUCUCUCUCUCUCUCAGAGGAAGUGGGCAUCUCUCUUUCACAUUAAGCAGUUGAAGACGUGACACUCAAAAGACCAUUAUGACGUUUUCACUGACUGUUUCAGAGAAGCUUAAUGGAGUAAAAGCUGGUCCCAAAAUUCAUCAGUGACGGGACAAAAACAAUCCCUGAUUUAAUGAAGAAACUUCAGAUAAAUAAUGGUUUAAUUGAGGAUUAAAUGUCCUCAUCUGCUUGACUUUGUGGAAAAGAUCUCAGUCAGUCACUGGACUUUCGUAAAGACGUUCAGUCUUUGUAGAUUUAUUGUAAAGUUCACAGAUAUUUACAGCUGUUUGUAAUGUUUUGGUCAUCAGUGAUGUUAUUUGUGCAUGAUUUGUUUUAUUCAUGUGAAAGGCAGGCAGUGGCUCAUCUCAUCACAUGAGUUUACAGCUUCAUAUGUUUUGCAUAGUUGAACCGCUGUGUUUAUGGCCAGGCAGCUGCUCUACACUGAAGUUACAUACAGGAUAAAGUGUGUUGACUAAUUAAAUGACAAGGAAACAGACACAGAAAAACAAACACAUAAGAGCUUCACAGCUUUGUGACAAAGGUCUCAUCUGUGUUUAACAGGAUCUGGAUUCAAAUCAUAAUACAGGCGAACCUACAGUGUAUGGACAAAUUAAUUCAUGUGUAAUAUUAAACUCAUUUUUAUUUUAUAAGAAACUUCUGUUUUACAGCUUCACUUCUGCUUUAGUGAUUAUUGGCUCCUGAUAAAUUGCUGGUGUGUUUCAUCAUUUGUUUGUAUUUUCUCUUCUGGUAAAUAUGUCUGCUUAAUGAAUAAAUAUAAUAUUUUAAUUGUAUCGUAAUCA